UGCAGAGGUCCCAAGCGUUGUUCGGAUUCACUGGGCGUAAAGGGUGCGUAGGCGGUCGGGUAAGUCUGAUGUGAAAUCUCACAGCUUAACUGUGAAACUGCAUUGGAUACUAGCCGGCUCGAGGAAUGGAGGGGAGACUGGAAUACUUGGUGUAGCAGUGAAAUGCGUAGAUAUCAAGUGGAACACCAGUGGCGAAGGCGAGUCUCUGGACAUUUCCUGACGCUGAGGCACGAAAGCCAGGGGAGCAAACGGG
RNAcentral lists this ribosomal RNA (253 nucleotides) under uncultured bacterium. Its description in RNAcentral is "partial 16S ribosomal RNA". It matches the Rfam family "Bacterial small subunit ribosomal RNA", at positions 524 to 776 of the family's 1533-position model. The record is from RNAcentral.